CAGACUAUCAGUACGUACGCUG
This 22-nucleotide microRNA is filed under the name Bombyx mori (domestic silkworm). RNAcentral describes it as "bmo-miR-2827". The record is from miRBase by way of RNAcentral. Lineage: Eukaryota; Metazoa; Arthropoda; Insecta; Lepidoptera; Bombycidae.